RNAcentral lists this ribosomal RNA (644 nucleotides) under bacterium. Its description in RNAcentral is "bacterial SSU rRNA". It matches the Rfam family "Bacterial small subunit ribosomal RNA", at positions 73 to 731 of the family's 1533-position model. The record is from RNAcentral.
UGGGAGCUUGCUCCCGGAUUAGUGGCGAACGGGUGAGUAACACGUGAGUAACCUGCCCUUAACUCUGGGAUAAGCCUGGGAAACUGGGUCUAAUACCGGAUAUGACUCCUCAUCGCAUGGUGGGGGGUGGAAAGCUUUUUGUGGUUUUGGAUGGACUCGCGGCCUAUCAGCUUGUUGGUGAGGUAAUGGCUUACCAAGGCGACGACGGGUAGCCGGCCUGAGAGGGUGACCGGCCACACUGGGACUGAGACACGGCCCAGACUCCUACGGGAGGCAGCAGUGGGGAAUAUUGCACAAUGGGCGCAAGCCUGAUGCAGCGACGCCGCGUGAGGGAUGACGGCCUUCGGGUUGUAAACCUCUUUCAGUAGGGAAGAAGCGAAAGUGACGGUACCUGCAGAAGAAGCGCCGGCUAACUACGUGCCAGCAGCCGCGGUAAUACGUAGGGCGCAAGCGUUAUCCGGAAUUAUUGGGCGUAAAGAGCUCGUAGGCGGUUUGUCGCGUCUGCCGUGAAAGUCCGGGGCUCAACUCCGGAUCUGCGGUGGGUACGGGCAGACUAGAGUGAUGUAGGGGAGACUGGAAUUCCUGGUGUAGCGGUGAAAUGCGCAGAUAUCAGGAGGAACACCGAUGGCGAAGGCAGGUCUCUG